UGGGGAAUAUUGGACAAUGGGCGCAAGCCUGAUCCAGCAAUGCCGCGUGUGUGAAGAAGGCCUUCGGGUUGUAAAGCACUUUUAUCAGGAGCGAAACGCUGUCGGCUAAUACCCGGCGGAACUGACGGUACCUGAGGAAUAAGCACCGGCUAACUUCGUGCCAGCAGCCGCGGUAAUACGAAGGGUGCAAGCGUUAAUCGGAAUUACUGGGCGUAAAGCGUGCGUAGGCGGUUUCUUAAGUCUGCUGUGAAAUCCCCGGGCUCAACCUGGGAAUGGCAGUGGAUACUGGGAGGCUAGAGUGUGUCAGAGGGUGGUGGAAUUCCCGGUGUAGCGGUGAAAUGCGUAGAGAUCGGGAGGAACAUCAGUGGCGAAGGCGGCCACCUGGGACAACACUGACGCUGAGGCACGAAAGCGUGGGGAGCAAACAGGAUUAGAUACCCUGGUAGUCCACGCCCUAAACGAUGCGAACUGGAUGUUGGUCUCAACUCGGAGAUCAGUGUCGAAGCUAACGCGUUAAGUUCGCCGCCUGGGGAGUACGGUCGCAAGACUGAAACUCAAAGGAAUUGACGGGGUCAUGAGCUGUUUCCUG
RNAcentral lists this ribosomal RNA (589 nucleotides) under uncultured bacterium. RNAcentral's name for it is "partial 16S ribosomal RNA". It matches the Rfam family "Bacterial small subunit ribosomal RNA", at positions 355 to 941 of the family's 1533-position model. The record is from RNAcentral.